AGUUGGUGGAGUGAUUUGUCUGGUUUAUUCCGAUAACGAACGAGACCUUAACCUGCUAAAUAGUAAUGUGUAUCUCCGGAUAUGCAAGUACUUCUUAGAGGGACUUUGUGAUUUCAAGCGCAAGGAAGUUUGAGGCAAUAACAGGU
This 146-nucleotide ribosomal RNA is filed under the name Dinophyceae sp. Its description in RNAcentral is "partial small subunit ribosomal RNA". It matches the Rfam family "Eukaryotic small subunit ribosomal RNA", at positions 1296 to 1461 of the family's 1831-position model. Lineage: Eukaryota; Dinophyceae. The record is from RNAcentral.